Long non-coding RNA from Zingiber officinale, 1462 nucleotides. RefSeq lists it as uncharacterized. The transcript is spliced from 4 exons. NCBI's taxonomy places the organism in Eukaryota, Viridiplantae, Streptophyta, Magnoliopsida, Zingiberales, Zingiberaceae. The record is from RefSeq and is a predicted model, not a curated record.
UAACAAUUUCGGCCUCAAUACUGGUUAUUUGCCCUCUCUCCCCUCCGGCGACCCGAAACUUCCUCCUUCAUCUGGAAGCGGAGCGCAGAUCGAAGGCGCCGGUGAUCGGAGACUUCGCCACUCUUUCCUGGAAAUCCUAGGCUUUCUCUGAUUCUCUAUCUCUCCCUCUCCCUCUCCCGGUCUUUUUCUCGCGUGCUACCCUUCUUACCCGCAGUGACCGCCUUCGCGCGAGGAUGUCGGAGGGUAUCUGCCCUCCUUCGUAGGGCCGUUGGCGAAACUUUUACGCUCUUCUACUCUUGUCUUCUUUAGAUCCGGAGCAACCGAUUAACAUUUGCUUUGGGUAAGGUUUUCCUUCGGUGUUUUUCUUGCUUAUUUCGGAGCCACUUGCUUUGUCAUGGUGAAAUCUCUUACUGUACCAAGUGGCACAGUCGAAACGCACGAUAAAUUGCCAAAAUCUAGUCAUGCAAUAUUGAGAUAAUAUUAUUUUUUUUGUUGUUUGUGUUCAUGUAAGAUAAUGUCAAAAUCCUAUCAUUUAGAUAGAACACAAAGUAUAUAAUUAUCUCAUUUCUUUUUUCUUCUUCAAUUAUGUAAAAUAUUUGAAAAAUGGUGAAUAAAAAUAAAAGAAUUUUUUGAAAUUUUUGAUAUGGACGAGAAAAUGUGGAUUUUCUUUAUUUCCUUUUCUUUUUAUUUCUUCGUUUCUUUCCUUUCAUCGCCGAAACCCCCUCCCCGGCGCGCCUCUCUUCCUUUCCUAGCCGAAGCCCUCUCGAGCCCGAACCGUCGGCGGUUACUCCUCUCCCUCGCGUGCAUAAGGCUGGGACCAAGAGAAGCCGACAUUUUUCUUCUCCCUCUCCGCAGCCGAGCUACCUCGCGUGUGCCCUAGCACCGCCGGGUGCCGAUCCUCCUAAGCCCUAGCGCCGACAUUCAGUCCAUCUUCGCUGCGAGCCGCACACUCGACGCCUUCUUCUUCCUUUUCCCCCAAGCUCCGGCGACGAAUCUGCCUCCGCCGACCCACUGUCGCCCUUGUGUGCCGACGCCGCCGCCGACUCUUGACCCGAGUAACACCGACCGCCUCCUCUCUGCCCUCUCCUGAUCAUGAGGGUUUCUGUUGUGCCGCCACAGUGAACGCUGCUCUGAUUUCUACAGCCAACGCCCUCUCCACAGUCCUCUGCCAUUGUUGACCUAGGGUUCCGGCGGCCAGUAUUGAGAUUAGGCAACGAGGUGUUUUCCAGAUCAGAGCUUGGAUCUUCUCCUCUGUUCUUGAUUAUUUUCUUCCUUGCGGUGGAUUUAGGUCACGGUUGAGCAAAGCUUUAAACUCCAGCAGCAAAACUUUAAUCAGUAGCUGCUCAUACUCGGUCCAGCAGCAACGAUCCUUGCUAUUGAGCCACAGCGACUGGGGUUGAGGACUUUGACACGAGACGAGUAUCUCGACGUCAGAUUUGGACCAGAUUGGAUCCUUCCUUAU